This 256-nucleotide microRNA precursor is filed under the name Trypanosoma congolense IL3000. Lineage: Eukaryota; Euglenozoa; Kinetoplastea; Trypanosomatida; Trypanosomatidae. The record is from RNAcentral.
CGGAAUUAUACGCGCCGUCAAGUUCCACGCCACCUUUGUCGGCGAGGGUCUCCACUCUCACCUCCAAUUUCAUUACCUUUUCAGCAACACCUUUUAUGUCCCACUUCAUCUCCUCCACUUUUUGAUGUAAAUCAAGUAAUGGAGAGUGUGAAGUAAGACAUAAAAGACGUUGGAAAUAGUGUUAUUAAAUUGGAGGUGAGGGUGGAGACCCUCGCCAACAAAGGUGGCGUGGAACUUGACGGCGCGUAUAAUUCCG